CCAGACUCCUACGGGAGGCAGCAGUGGGGAAUCUUGCGCAAUGGGCGAAAGCCUGACGCAGCGACGCCGCGUGCGGGAAGAAGGCCUUCGGGUUGUAAACCGCUUUCAGGAGGGACGAAGCCACUCGGGUUAAUAGCCCAGAGGGUGACGGUACCUCCAGAAGAAGCCCCGGCUAACUACGUGCCAGCAGCCGCGGUAAUACGUAGGGGGCAAGCGUUGUCCGGAUUUAUUGGGCGUAAAGAGCGUGUAGGCGGCCAGGUAGGUCUGCUGUGAAAACUCGAGGCUCAACCUCGAGAUGUCGGCGGAAACCAUCUGGCUAGAGUCCGGAAGAGGAGAAUGGAAUUCCCGGUGUAGCGGUGAAAUGCGCAGAUAUCGGGAAGAACACCCGUGGCGAAGGCGGUUCUCUGGGACGGUACUGACGCUGA
This 425-nucleotide ribosomal RNA is filed under the name uncultured Actinomycetes bacterium. Its description in RNAcentral is "bacterial SSU rRNA". It matches the Rfam family "Bacterial small subunit ribosomal RNA", at positions 331 to 749 of the family's 1533-position model. The record is from RNAcentral. Lineage: Bacteria; Bacillati; Actinomycetota; Actinomycetes.